UAACGGCUAUCUCUCUCUCUCUGCUUUCUCGUCCUCUCCCCUUCUCUCAUCUUCUUCGUCUUCCUCAAAAUCGCCGAUUCACGGCCAUCUUCUUCUCCUAUCCCUAACAGCGCCGGAUUUCUCAACUGUCGAUCGAGUGACAAUCGUGCCUGCCUGCUUGACAAAGCCUUUUCGGUCUACCAAUAAAGGAAAAACGAUUGCUGGUGACACGAAAGCUGUGCUCAACGCUCUUUUUCCUAUUCCACUGCACGUCGUGGUCUUUCCCUUGCUGGUUGGAUGACUACUAUGGACGAAGAGCACAACUACUUCCAGUCUCUGGUCGAUAAGUACCCAAGGAAGAGUUGCAGUGGGUAAAUCUUAAUGGCUGGCAGAAAAUUGGUUCGGGAUAUAUUACUCUCAAGACAAAGUAUUUUUUAUCAGUUUACUUCCCAUGGGGUAUUUGCUCUUCCUA
This is a long non-coding RNA of Cucumis sativus (cucumber), 451 nucleotides long. RefSeq lists it as uncharacterized. The record is from RefSeq and is a predicted model, not a curated record. Lineage: Eukaryota; Viridiplantae; Streptophyta; Magnoliopsida; Cucurbitales; Cucurbitaceae. The transcript is spliced from 2 exons.